Molecule: transfer RNA, 86 nt
Filed under: Geosporobacter ferrireducens
Lineage: Bacteria; Bacillati; Bacillota; Clostridia; Peptostreptococcales; Thermotaleaceae
Description: tRNA-Leu
Rfam family: tRNA
About the family: Transfer RNA (tRNA) molecules are approximately 80 nucleotides in length. Their secondary structure includes four short double-helical elements and three loops (D, anti-codon, and T loops).
Source: RNAcentral
GCCGAAGUGGUGGAAUGGCAGACGCACCGGACUCAAAAUCCGGCGGUAGCAAUACCGUGAGGGUUCAAGUCCCUCCUUCGGCACCA